This 625-nucleotide ribosomal RNA is filed under the name uncultured bacterium. Its description in RNAcentral is "bacterial SSU rRNA". It matches the Rfam family "Bacterial small subunit ribosomal RNA", at positions 28 to 608 of the family's 1533-position model. The record is from RNAcentral.
GAUGAACGCUGGCGGCGUGCCUAACACAUGCAAGUCGAACGAGAAGCUAACUUCUGAUUCCUUCGGGAUGAUGAGGUUAGCAGAAAGUGGCGAACGGGUGAGUAACGCGUGGGUAAUCUACCCUGUUAAGUGGGGGAUAACCCUCCGAAAGGAGGGCUAAUACCGCAUAAUAUCUUCUCCUCCCAAGAGAAGAAGAUUAAAGAUGGCCUCUAUACUAUGCUAUCACUUCAGGAUGAGCCCGCGUCCUAUUAGUUAGUUGGUGGGGUAAUGGCCUACCAAGACCACAAUGGGUAGCCGGUCUGAGAGGAUGUACGGCCACACUGGGACUGAGAUACGGCCCAGACUCCUACGGGAGGCAGCAGUGGGGAAUAUUGCGCAAUGGGGGAAACCCUGGCGCAGCGACGCCGCGUGGAUGAUGAAGGCCCUUGGGUUGUAAAAUCCUGUUCUGGGGGAAGAAAGCUUAAAGGUCCAAUAAACCCUUAAGCCUGACGGUACCCCAAGAGAAAGCUCCGGCUAAUUAUGUGCCAGCAGCCGCGGUAAUACAUAAGGAGCAAGCGUUAUCCGGAAUUAUUGGGCGUAAAGAGCUCGUAGGCGGUCUUAAAAGUCAGGUGUGAAAUUAUCAGGC